GGAAAGAGCUCAUGCAGCUGGCACAACCUGUGUGCUUCAGAGUGUCUGAGACCAAGGGCAGUGACGGCAGCAAGUGACCAGUCGAGAAUCAGCACUGGCUGCUGAUGCUGGUGCUGAUGGAGGUGCUGAUGCUGGUGCUGAUGCUGAUGCAGUGUCACCUGCCUCAGGAUUUUGUUCUCCAACACCUUCUAAUGGGUUGAACAUAGUGCUGAACGGCCAACAGCUGAGGCAAAAGAGGAUAGGUCGGACUUGCCGCAGAGACAGGAUCUCCGGGAAGGAAUCUUGGGCAUUGUCAGCCAGAUAUGGAGGAAGAAGUGCUGGGACUGGACGAUUGCUGAGAGACGCCAGGCCACGAGACUAUUGUUGGAUUUUUCUGGGGAGACUAACAUCUGGAAGGAACCCAAAAAUACAUGUGCAUGGGGGCAGAUGGUCCCCUCCAGCCAGCCUUAUAGGUCAGAUGGGACUGUCCAGGACUUUUACUACGGAAGGAGCUCUCCAAACGCUCAGAAGGCAGCCAUUGUUCAAGCGGGCAUGGAGGAGGUGGGAGUGAAUGCCCUUUGUCAGGGGACAUGAAGAGUGGAGGCAGCAAGUAGCCAGUGGCAGUGUCAGUGGUGACAGCUUUUUUCUGGUCACCUGACCUUAGCAGUAUCUGGCUGCCCAAAUCCUCUUGGGUCCUAGUGGGGUUUUGUAAAAUUCAUCUUGCAUUUGUUUAUCUGUGGGGGCAGAGACACACACAGUGGGGUGUGUGGAGGUCGGAAAAGAGCUUGCAGGAGUUGCUUAUCCUCUGCUGUGUGGUUCCUGGACACUGAACUGGAGUUGUCAGGCUUGGAGGCAAGCAGUUUUACUAUCUGGAUUUGGAUCUUGAAAUUUUGGGCUUCCCACUGAUUCUGUGAACCAUCCUGAUGUUAUUA
Meriones unguiculatus (Mongolian gerbil) is the source of this 911-nucleotide long non-coding RNA. RefSeq lists it as uncharacterized. The record is from RefSeq and is a predicted model, not a curated record. The transcript has 3 exons. NCBI's taxonomy places the organism in Eukaryota, Metazoa, Chordata, Mammalia, Rodentia, Muridae.